CCGCAUCCAGGAACCAGGCCGCCUUCUCUGGGGUGGGAGCACGGAGCUCCGACUGGUUUUGGAGCUGGAAAACAUCCAGAUUUGAAAAAUAAAGCAUCAAUGUUGCAGACAUGACAUGAUGGGGGAGGCUGUCAAGUCCUGGUUCUGUGGCUGACUGCUACAGCCAGUUGCACAGGGACGUUGCGCUGCAGGCUAUAAAACAACGAGGGCGAGUCGCCAAGUGAAGGACUGACACACUGACAGUCAGGCACACAUACGAGGGAUGGCUCAUAAACCACAUAUGCUCUGUGUGUGUAGCCGGGGAAGUUGUGUUCAAGAGGCUGUUACCC
Molecule: long non-coding RNA, 329 nt
Organism: Gambusia affinis (western mosquitofish)
Lineage: Eukaryota; Metazoa; Chordata; Actinopteri; Cyprinodontiformes; Poeciliidae
Exons: 3
Source: RefSeq, a predicted model, not a curated record